GAUAGACUGUGCCCCAAAAGUUAUUGUUUUUCACACAUAAAGAUGCGGGCAGCAAUUGUCCUACUCGUGGGAUUGGCUUUCAUUGGGGGCUGUUUCGCGAAGUACUGCAUGCCAGAACAAAACUGCUGGCCAUCAUCAGAUCGACUGGCUAAAUUCAAAGGAACUUUAAAAGGGAAGCUUGUUCUUCCAACCGACGCAUUCUUCGUCAACGCCACCAAGGGGGUGAUCUACAAUGAGAGAUACACCACAAA
Long non-coding RNA from Lingula anatina, 251 nucleotides. The record is from RefSeq and is a predicted model, not a curated record. NCBI's taxonomy places the organism in Eukaryota, Metazoa, Brachiopoda, Lingulata, Lingulida, Lingulidae.